UGGGUGACCUCAUUGACUAGCUUGUGAUUCAAUCUUGACCCUUCUUUAUGUUACCACAAAGAACAAAGUUGAAUAAAACAUACGCAACUAUUAAAUUCAUUGAUUCAUUACUUUUAAAUUUCACAAGCCCUACUACUUUUCUUCUCUUCAUUCCAAACAACAAGUAAAUCUUCCAUUGGGUUCCUCUUGUGGUGAUUUCUGUACAACAAUGGAACACAAGAUUGAUGCCAUGGCAGUGAAGAUUGAGGCCUUGGAACAGAAAAUUAAUGGGUUGGUGAAUUGUGUGAAAAUGAAUGAAGAUGUGGCUGAUCUACAAGCUAGACUUGGCACUGAGUUGAACAAAUUACAUAAUCUGAGUAGUUCGGCUAUCACUCAAGCCAUAACCAUUUUAGCCACAAGACAUGAUUUGUUGAGGGUUUUCUUUGGUUUGCCUUCUCAGAUGAAGAAAUUAUAUAUUGAGAACAUUGGCGUGUCUGGAGCAAAAUUCAUAUAGCUAUAUAUAUAUAUAUAUGUUAGCUCUUCCAUGUUUGAUCCGUGUCAUUUUGUAUCGAAUGAUGAGUUAAGGUUUAUGUUAUUUAGGGUGCCGAGGAUCCAAACUAGUCCAACGGUUGAGAUUGAAUUGUUAGCAGUUGGGAUUGUCAAGAUCAUCUCGACCAAACCAAUCCAAUCCAAUCCAAUCCAAUCUAUCUAUAUAUAUAAAUAUAUAUUUUAAUUAUUGUGUUAGCUACUUCAGGAAAUCGGGUUGUUGUUGUUGUGUUCCAUUAUCAUUGUAAUAUUGACGACUUGGAAUACUACUAAAUGAUAUUUACCCUUAAAUAAAGAUAUUUUGGUCAUAUCUA
Molecule: long non-coding RNA, 839 nt
Organism: Humulus lupulus (European hop)
Lineage: Eukaryota; Viridiplantae; Streptophyta; Magnoliopsida; Rosales; Cannabaceae
Exons: 2
Source: RefSeq, a predicted model, not a curated record